GGAAGUAAAAGUCGUAACAAGGUCUCCGUUGGUGAACCAGCGGAGGGAUCAUUACAGAGUUUACAACUCCCAAACCCAAAUGUGAACAUACCAAUCGUUGCUUCGGCGGACUCGUCCCAGCGUCCGGGUGGCCUUGCGCCGCCCGCGGCCUGGAACCAGGCGACCGCCGGAGGCCAUUCAAACUCUUUGUAUUACCAGUAUCUUCUGAAUCCGCCGCAAGGCAAAACAAAUGAAUCAAAACUUUCAACAACGGAUCUCUUGGUUCUGGCAUCGAUGAAGAACGCAGCGAAAUGCGAUAAGUAAUGUGAAUUGCAGAAUUCAGUGAAUCAUCGAAUCUUUGAACGCACAUUGCGCCCGCCAGCAUUCUGACGGGCAUGCCUGUUCGAGCGUCAUUUCAACCCUCGAGCUCCCCUUGGGGAGCCCGGCGUUGGGGACCGGCCUCUACCGCCGACCCCGAAAUACAGUGGCGGCCCCGUCACGGCGACCUCUGCGUAGUAACUCAACCUCGCACCGGAAACCCGACGUGGCCACGCCGUAAAACACCCCACUUCUGAACGUUGACCUCGGAUCAGGUAGGAAUACCCGCUGAACUUAAGCAUAUCAAUAAGCGGAGGA
RNAcentral lists this ribosomal RNA (615 nucleotides) under Zarea fungicola. RNAcentral's name for it is "eukaryotic LSU rRNA". The stretch from base 239 to 392 matches the Rfam family "5.8S ribosomal RNA". Lineage: Eukaryota; Fungi; Ascomycota; Sordariomycetes; Hypocreales; Cordycipitaceae. The record is from RNAcentral.